GACGAACGCUGGCGGCGUGCUUAACACAUGCAAGUCGAACGGAAAGGCCUCUUUCGGGGGGUACUCGAGUGGCGAACGGGUGAGUAACACGUGAGUAACCUGCCCUUGACUUUGGGAUAACUUCAGGAAACUGGGGCUAAUACCGGAUAGGAGCUCCUGCUGCAUGGUGGGGGUUGGAAAGUUUCGGCGGUUGGGGAUGGACUCGCGGCUUAUCAGCUUGUUGGUGGGGUAGUGGCUUACCAAGGCUUUGACGGGUAGCCGGCCUGAGAGGGUGACCGGCCACAUUGGGACUGAGAUCCGGCCCAGACUCCUACGGGAGGCAGCAGUGGGGAAUAUUGCACAAUGGGUGGAAGCCUGAUGCAGCAACGCCGUGUGCGGGAGGACGGCCUUCGGGUUGUAAACCGCUUUCGCUCAUGACGAAGCUUUGUGUGACGGUAGUGGGUAAAGAAGCACCGGCUAACUACGUG
This 467-nucleotide ribosomal RNA is filed under the name uncultured bacterium. RNAcentral describes it as "partial 16S ribosomal RNA". It matches the Rfam family "Bacterial small subunit ribosomal RNA", at positions 28 to 507 of the family's 1533-position model. The record is from RNAcentral.